GGUGCACCAGGCGCGAAAACUUUACAAUGCUGGCAACAGCGAUAAGGGGACCUCGAGUGCCAGGAUACAAUCCUGGCUGUCGUAAUGCCUAAAAAGCAUUUCAUAGCAAGGGCCGGGCAAGACCGGUGCCAGCCGCCGCGGUAACACCGGCGGCUCGAGUGGUAACCGCUAUUAUUGGGUCUAAAGGGUCUGUAGCCGGCUGACUAAGUCUCUUGGGAAAUCUGGCAGCUCAACUGUCAGGCUUUCAGGAGAUACUGAUCGGCUCGAGACCGGGAGAGGUGAGAGGUACCUCAGGGGUAGGGGUGAAAUCUUGUAAUCCUUGAGGGACCACCAGUGGCGAAGGCGUCUCACCAGAACGGAUCUGACGGCAAGGGGCGAAAGCUAGGGGCACGAACCGGAUUAGAUACCCGGGUAGUCCUAGCCGUAAACGAUACUCGCUAGGUGUCGGCCACGGUGCGACCGUGGUCGGUGCCGUAGGGAAGCCGUGAAGCGAGCCACCUGGGAAGCACGGCCGCAAGGCUGAAACUUAAAGGAAUUGGCGGGGGAGCACAAGGGCGAUUCGCG
Molecule: ribosomal RNA, 564 nt
Filed under: uncultured archaeon
Lineage: Archaea
Description: bacterial SSU rRNA
Rfam family: Archaeal small subunit ribosomal RNA
Source: RNAcentral